CCUACGGGGGGCAGCAGUGAGGAAUAUUGGUCAAUGGUCGGGAGACUGAACCAGCCAAGCCGCGUGAGGGAUGAAGGUACAGAGUAUCGUAAACCUCUUUUGUCAGGGAACAAAGGCGGGGACGUGUCCCCGGUUGAGUGUACCUGAAGAAAAAGCAUCGGCUAACUCCGUGCCAGCAGCCGCGGUAAUACGGAGGAUUCGAGCGUUAUCCGGAUUUAUUGGGGUUAAAGGGUGCGCAGGCGGGCUGUUAAGGCAGCUGUCAAAGCCCGGGGCCUAACCCCGGCCCCGCAGGUGAAACGGGCAGUCUUGAGUUGGGGAGAGGUAAGCGGAAUGCGCGGUGUAGCGGUGAAAUGCAUAGAUAUCACGAAGAACUCCGAUUGCGAAGGCAGCAUGCCGGCUCCACACUGACGCUGAGGCACGAAAGCGUGGGUAUCGAACAGGAUUAGAUACCCCGGUAGUC
RNAcentral lists this ribosomal RNA (460 nucleotides) under uncultured bacterium. RNAcentral's name for it is "partial 16S ribosomal RNA". It matches the Rfam family "Bacterial small subunit ribosomal RNA", at positions 338 to 795 of the family's 1533-position model. The record is from RNAcentral.